RNAcentral lists this ribosomal RNA (254 nucleotides) under uncultured bacterium. RNAcentral describes it as "partial 16S ribosomal RNA". It matches the Rfam family "Bacterial small subunit ribosomal RNA", at positions 524 to 776 of the family's 1533-position model. The record is from RNAcentral.
UACGUAGGGUGCGAGCGUUGUCCGGAAUUACUGGGCGUAAAGAGCUCGUAGGUGGUUUGUCGCGUUGUCCGUGAAAACUCACAGCUCAACUGUGGGCGUGCGGGCGAUACGGGCAGACUGGAGUACUGCAGGGGAGACUGGAAUUCCUGGUGUAGCGGUGGAAUGCGCAGAUAUCAGGAGGAACACCGGUGGCGAAGGCGGGUCUCUGGGCAGUAACUGACGCUGAGGAGCGAAAGCAUGGGGGAGCGAACAGG